This 349-nucleotide ribosomal RNA is filed under the name uncultured Oscillospiraceae bacterium. RNAcentral describes it as "bacterial SSU rRNA". It matches the Rfam family "Bacterial small subunit ribosomal RNA", at positions 1 to 339 of the family's 1533-position model. The record is from RNAcentral. Lineage: Bacteria; Bacillati; Bacillota; Clostridia; Eubacteriales; Oscillospiraceae.
AGUAGUUUGAUCAUGGCUCGAGGACGACGCUGGCGGCGUGCCUAACACAUGCAAGUCGAACGGAGCUGUUUUGGAUUUCCUUCGGGGAAUGAAUUUACAGCUUAGUGGCGAACGGGUGAGUAACGCGUGAGCAACCUGCCUUUCAGAGGGGGACAACAGUUGGAAACGACUGCUAAUACCGCAUGAUAUCAUAUGGGGGCAUCCCUGAAUGAUCAAAGAUUUUAUCGCUGAAAGAUGGGCUCGCGUCUGAUUAGCUAGUUGGUGGGGUAACGGCUCACCAAGGCUGCGAUCAGUAGCCGGACUGAGAGGUUGAUCGGCCACAUUGGGACUGAGAUACGGCCCAGACUCC